GAUGAAGAACGCAGCGAAAUGCGAUAAGUAAUGUGAAUUGCAGAAUUCAGUGAAUCAUCGAAUCUUUGAACGCACAUUGCGCCCCUUGGUAUUCCGAGGGGCAUGCCUGUUCGAGCGUCAUUAUAACCCCUCAAGCUCAGCUUGGUGUUGGGGCCUGCCAACUGGCAGCCCUUAAAAUCAGUGGCGGCGCCAUCUGGCUCUAAGCGUAGUAAUUUCUCUCGCUAUAGGGUCCCGGUGGAUGCUGGCCAACAACCCCCAAUUUUCUAUGGUUGACCUCGGAUCAGGUAGGGAUACCCGCUGAACUUAAGCAUAUCAAUAAGCGGAGGA
RNAcentral lists this unclassified non-coding RNA (327 nucleotides) under soil metagenome. RNAcentral's name for it is "partial contains 5.8S ribosomal RNA, internal transcribed spacer 2, and large subunit ribosomal RNA". The stretch from base 1 to 120 matches the Rfam family "5.8S ribosomal RNA", at positions 35 to 154 of the family's 154-position model. The record is from RNAcentral.